GUACCAAUCGAUGCUGUUUAGAGGCUCUCAGACUGUACCAAUCGAUGCUGUUUAGAGGCUCUCAGACUGAACUAAUCGAUGCUGUUUAGAGGCUCUCAGACUGUACCAAUCGAUGCUGUUUAGAGGCUCUCAGACUGAACUAAUCGAUGCUGUUUAGAGGCUCUCAGACUGUACCAAUCGAUGCUGUUUAGAGGCUCUCAGACUGUACCAAUCGAUGCUGUUUAGAGGCUCUCAGACUGUACCAAUCGAUGCUGUUUAGAGGCUCUCAGACUGAACUAAUCGAUGCUGUUUAGAGGCUCUCAGACUGUACCAAUCGAUGCUGUUUAGAGGCUCUCAGACUGUACCAAUCGAUGCUGUUUAGAGGCUCUCAGACUGUACCAAUCGAUGCUGUUUAGAGGCUCUCAGACUGAACUAAUCGAUGCUGUUUAGAGGCUCUCAGACUGUACCAAUCGAUGCUGUUUAGAGGCUCUCAGACUGAACUAAUCGAUGCUGUUUAGAGGCUCUCAGACUGUACCAAUCGAUGCUGUUUAGAGGCUCUCAGACUGUACCAAUCGAUGCUGUUUAGAGGCUCUCAGACUGAACCAAUCGAUGCUGUUUAGAGGCUCUCAGACUGAACCAAUCGAUGCUGUUUAGAGGCUCUCAGACUGUACCAAUCGAUGCUGUUUAGAGGCUCUCAGACUGUACCAAUCGAUGCUGUUUAGAGGCUCUCAGACUGUACCAAUCGAUGCUGUUUAGAGGCUCUCAGACUGUACCAAUCCAUGCUGUUUAGAGGCUCUCAGACUGUACCAAUCGAUGCUGUUUAGAGGCUCUCAGACUGAACUAAUCGAUGCUGUUUAGAGGCUCUCAGACUGUACUAAUCGAUGCUGUUUAGAGGCUCUCAGACUGUACUAAUCGAUGCUGUUUGGAGGCUCUCAGACUGUACCAAUCGAUGCUGUUUAGAGGCUCUCAGACUGUACUAAUCGAUGCUGUUUGGAGGCUCUCAGACUGUACCAAUCGAUGCUGUUUAGAGGCUCUCAGACUGUACUAAUCGAUGCUGUUUAGAGGCUCACAGACUGUACCAAUCGAUGCUGUUUAGAGGCUCUCAGACUGUACUAGUCGAUGUUGUUUAGAGGCUGUCAGACUGUACUAGUCGAAGU
Molecule: long non-coding RNA, 1136 nt
Organism: Acanthochromis polyacanthus (spiny chromis)
Lineage: Eukaryota; Metazoa; Chordata; Actinopteri; Pomacentridae
Exons: 9
Source: RefSeq, a predicted model, not a curated record